Molecule: long non-coding RNA, 1292 nt
Organism: Budorcas taxicolor (takin)
Lineage: Eukaryota; Metazoa; Chordata; Mammalia; Artiodactyla; Bovidae
Exons: 3
Source: RefSeq, a predicted model, not a curated record
GACGCGGGAGCCGCCGGGGGCUGACUCACCCGGCCCGGAGCGGCGGCCCCCGGAUGGAGGACAGCGGAGACGCUGGACUCGACCCCGCGCCAUCCCGGGAACCUCUUCUGCUGGGACGUCCCAGUCUUCCACGAGGCACUGUUGGAUACGCAGCAAAAAGGAGGAUCUGCAGCACGAGAGACUGAGUCACUGAGUCGUGUCCGACUCUUUGUGACCCCAGGGACUGUAGCCCGCCAGGCUCUCCUGUACACAGGAUUUCCCAGGCAAGAAUUCAGGAGUGGGUUGCCAUUUCCUUCUCCAGGGGAUCUUCUCAACCCAGGGAUCGAACCUGCGACUCCUGUAUUAGCAGGUAGAUGCUUUACCACUAAGCCAUCUGGGAAGUCCAACCCCAUGUUAGAGAUGAAGAAACUGAGGCUCAAAGAAUACCUUACAUGUCCUCAGAACUGUCUCCUGAACCAAGUACCCUGGCCCCAGAGAUGUCCAGUUCCCAGGACACUGUGUUUAGUUCCUAUUGGACCAAAAGGGGAGCUACUAGGCCAUUCAAGCUCACGUCCUAUUUCUUAUGGUCAGCGUUGGUCCAUGGGAUUUGCUGUCUCUCCAUCUGGGAGGGCAUCAGAUGAUGGAGUGCCACUUGUUCCGGGGGUCACUGAGCCUCAGGAUUUCUUUUGAUUGUUCUGGAACAAUCCAUGCCAGAAGCACAUUCAAACAGAGCGACUAAUGCUCACAUCAAAAACAUGGCCUUAAAGGACGCUCUCAAAUUCCUCUCUGCACCAGACCCAGGGGAAGAAGCUACUGAGCCGAGAGAGACCGCAGUGCCAGGUAGUACUUUGCAGCCACUCGGUGUCUGGAGUACACUUUUUAUUCAUAAAUUAUCUACACGUGUGCCUUUAUCGGACUUUCCAGGUGGCGCUAGUAAUAAAGAAUCCGCCUGCCUCGGCAGGAGAUCUAACAGACCCAAGUUCAAUCCCUGGGUCAGGAAGAUCCUUUGGCGCAGGGCAUAGAAGCCCCCUAUAGUAUUCUUGCCUGGAGAAUUCCAUGGACAGAGAAGCCUGGUGGGCGUCGGUCUACAGGGUCACAAAGUGUUGAACACCACUGCAGUAACUUAGCACGCACGCAUGUGACCUUACUAAAAACAUUAUAAAAACUUACAAAACGGAGAUAAAGGGACUUCCCUGGUGGAACAGUGGUUAAGACUCCACAUUUCCAAUACAGGAGGUGCAGGCUUGAUCCCUGAUCAGGGAACUAAGAUCCCACAUGCUGGGUGGCAUGGGCAAAAAACAAACAAAAAUAAA